GAUGAACGCUGGCGGCGUGCCUAAUACAUGCAAGUCGAGCGAACAGACGAGGAGCUUGCUCCUCUGACGUUAGCGGCGGACGGGUGAGUCACACGUGUAUCCCCUACCUAUCAGUCUGGGAUCUCUUCGGGAAACCGGCGCUAAUACCGGAUAAUAUAUUGCACCGCAUGGUUCGAUGGUGAGAGACGGUUUUGCUGUCUCUUAUCGCUGGUUCCGGGCCGCAUUAGCUAGUUGUUAAGGUAACGGCUUACCACGGGAACGAUGCGUAGCCGACCGGAGAGGGUGAUCGGCCACACUGGAGCUGAGACACGGUCCAGACUCCUACGGGAGGCAGCAGUAGGGAAUCGUCCGCAAUGGGCGGAAGCCUGACGGAGCAAGGCCGCGUGAGAUAUGAAGGUCUUCGGAGCGUAAAACUCUGUUAUUAGGGAAGAACAAAUGUGUAAGUAAAUAUGCACGUCUUGACGGUACCUAAUCAGAAAGCCACGGCUAACUACGUG
This 497-nucleotide ribosomal RNA is filed under the name uncultured bacterium. RNAcentral's name for it is "partial 16S ribosomal RNA". It matches the Rfam family "Bacterial small subunit ribosomal RNA", at positions 28 to 507 of the family's 1533-position model. The record is from RNAcentral.